This is a long non-coding RNA of Pipistrellus kuhlii (Kuhl's pipistrelle), 423 nucleotides long. RefSeq lists it as uncharacterized. The transcript has 2 exons. The record is from RefSeq and is a predicted model, not a curated record. Lineage: Eukaryota; Metazoa; Chordata; Mammalia; Chiroptera; Vespertilionidae.
AGCCCACAGCACGCUGAUUGGUCGGAUCGACUGUCAAUCGGAAAAGCAAGAAGGCGGGGCUUCAGAGCCGUGGGAAGGCGGGACUUUGCCGGCUCCCGGAAGGAAGUGCAUCAGGGGAACCUGAGGCGCAGAGGAGAGAGGAGGUUUGUCAGGGCCACAGAGGCUCUCCACGUGCAAAAUGGGUGAAAGGUUGGACGGAAAGAGGCCGCAUGCUAACCUGGCUAGGUAAGGGAAGCCGGCAUGGCCGCCUCGCCAACUCAGAGACCUAAAGUAACCACAAAGGAUGGUCUGAAACCAAAACUUUGAAGACGAAAAGCAGUUUAUGGUGGCACCUCACCUGGUCUGAUGGGGGCUGCCAUUUCUGCCCCUUCUGGAGGGCCAUGAACACUGUGUCGUCUGCCAGAGCUUGGAAAUACUCUUCUG